CGAGUAGGCGGUGGAGCAAGUCUGAGGUGGAAUCCUAUGGCUUAACCAUAGAACUGCCUUAGAAACUGUUUCACUUGAGUCAGUGAGGGGAGGGCGGAAUUCCUGGUGUAGCGGUGAAAUGCGUAGAUAUCAGGAGGAAGGCCUGUGGCGAAGGCGGCCCUCUGGCACUGCACUGACGCUGAGGCGCGAAAGCGUGGGGAGCAAACAGGAUUAGAUACCCUGGUAGUCCACGCCCUAAACGGUGGGCAUUAGGUGUAGGGCUCGUAAGGGUUCUGUGCCGAAGGGAAACCAUUAAAUGCCCCGCCUGGGGAGUACGGCCGCAAGGUUGAA
This 330-nucleotide ribosomal RNA is filed under the name uncultured bacterium. Its description in RNAcentral is "bacterial SSU rRNA". It matches the Rfam family "Bacterial small subunit ribosomal RNA", at positions 568 to 898 of the family's 1533-position model. The record is from RNAcentral.